AGCUUGCUUUUUAAGCUUAGUGGCGAACGGGUGAGUAACGCGUGAGUAACCUGCCCUAGAGUGGGGGACAACAGUUGGAAACGACUGCUAAUACCGCAUGACACAUAGAUGUCGCAUGGCAUUUAUGUCAAAGAUUUAUCGCUGAAAGAUGGCCUCGCGUCUGAUUAGCUAGUUGGUGAGGUAACGGCCCACCAAGGCGACGAUUGGUAGCCGGACUGAGAGGUUGAACGGCCACAUUGGGACUGAGACACGGCCCAGACUCC
This 263-nucleotide ribosomal RNA is filed under the name uncultured Oscillospiraceae bacterium. RNAcentral describes it as "partial 16S ribosomal RNA". It matches the Rfam family "Bacterial small subunit ribosomal RNA", at positions 77 to 339 of the family's 1533-position model. The record is from RNAcentral. Lineage: Bacteria; Bacillati; Bacillota; Clostridia; Eubacteriales; Oscillospiraceae.